This is a long non-coding RNA of Drosophila sulfurigaster albostrigata, 262 nucleotides long. RefSeq lists it as uncharacterized. The record is from RefSeq and is a predicted model, not a curated record. Lineage: Eukaryota; Metazoa; Arthropoda; Insecta; Diptera; Drosophilidae. The transcript is spliced from 2 exons.
UUUGUUGGUGAUUGAAUUUGACAAACAAUUGUGGAAUAUUAAUCAAAGUCAGUUGCAAUAGUUUUCAACUUACACAUCUCCACAUCCAUGACUUCCUGUGUCGUCGUUGCCAUGACGCUCAGCAUUUUCGGUAGGCGCUCACAAGUUGCAGUUGGACGUGGUCAACAGGGGGAGAAGCAUUAUAUCAAUUGCUGGUCGAACCAAACGCUGACCGGUGCAGUUUAUGGCACCAAGGCAGCCAAGGCUAAAAUUAGUUUGGCAA